RNAcentral lists this ribosomal RNA (464 nucleotides) under uncultured Streptococcus sp. RNAcentral describes it as "bacterial SSU rRNA". It matches the Rfam family "Bacterial small subunit ribosomal RNA", at positions 920 to 1382 of the family's 1533-position model. Lineage: Bacteria; Bacillati; Bacillota; Bacilli; Lactobacillales; Streptococcaceae. The record is from RNAcentral.
CCCGCACAAGCGGUGGAGCAUGUGGUUUAAUUCGACGCAACGCGAAGAACCUUACCUGGGCUUGACAUCCCGAUCGUACCUGCUGGAAACAGCGGGGUCAGUUCGGCUGGAUCGGUGACAGGUGGUGCAUGGUUGUCGUCAGCUCGUGUCGUGAGAUGUUGGGUUAAGUCCCGCAACGAGCGCAACCCCUAUUGUUAGUUGCCAUCAUUCAGUUGGGCACUCUAGCGAGACUGCCGGUAAUAAACCGGAGGAAGGUGGGGAUGACGUCAAAUCAUCAUGCCCCUUAUGGCCUGGGCUACACACGUGCUACAAUGGUUGGUACAACGAGUUGCGAGUCGGUGACGGCGAGCUAAUCUCUUAAAGCCAAUCUCAGUUCGGAUUGUAGGCUGCAACUCGCCUACAUGAAGUCGGAAUCGCUAGUAAUCGCGGAUCAGCACGCCGCGGUGAAUACGUUCCCGGGCCUU